CCUACGGGAGGCAGCAGUGGGGAAUUUUGCGCAAUGGGCGAAAGCCUGACGCAGCAACGCCGCGUGUGUGAUGAAGGUCUUCGGAUUGUAAAGCACUUUCGACCGGGACGCUGUACCGGGAGAAGAAGCACCGGCUAACUCUGUGCCAGCAGCCGCGGUAAUACAGAGGGUGCAAGCGUUGUUCGGAAUUAUUGGGCGUAAAGCGCGUGUAGGCGGCUUUGCAAGUCGGGUGUGAAAGCCCUCAGCUUAACUGAGGAAGUGCGCCCGAAACUGCAGAGCUUGAGUACCGGAGAGGGUGGCGGAAUUCCCCAAGUAGAGGUGAAAUUCGUAGAUAUGGGGAGGAACACCGGGGCGAAGGCGGCCACCUGGACGAACUGACGCUGAGACGCGAAAGCGUGGGUAGCAAACAGGAUUAGAUACCCUUGUAGUC
This 430-nucleotide ribosomal RNA is filed under the name uncultured bacterium. RNAcentral's name for it is "partial 16S ribosomal RNA". It matches the Rfam family "Bacterial small subunit ribosomal RNA", at positions 338 to 795 of the family's 1533-position model. The record is from RNAcentral.